CAGUAGCCACGGUAAUACGAAGGGGGCUAGCGUUGUUCGGAUUUACUGGGCGUAAAGGGCGCGUAGGCGGGCGAAUAAGUCAGGGGUGAAAUCCCAAGGCUCAACCUUGGAACUGCCUUUGAUACUGUUUGUCUUGAGUUCGAGAGAGGUAAGUGGAACUGCGAGUGUAGAGGUGAAAUUCGUAGAUAUUCGCAAGAACACCAGUGGCGAAGGCGGCUUACUGGCUCGAAACUGACGCUGAGGCGCGAAAGCGUGGGGAGCAAACAGGAUUAGAUACCCCGGUAGUCCCUGUCUCUUAUAC
RNAcentral lists this ribosomal RNA (301 nucleotides) under uncultured bacterium. Its description in RNAcentral is "partial 16S ribosomal RNA". It matches the Rfam family "Bacterial small subunit ribosomal RNA", at positions 509 to 807 of the family's 1533-position model. The record is from RNAcentral.